GCACUGGUAGUUCAAUGGUAGAAUUCUUGCCUUCCACGUGGGAGACCCUGGUUCGAUUUCUGGCCAGUGCA
Molecule: transfer RNA, 71 nt
Filed under: Procavia capensis (Cape rock hyrax)
Lineage: Eukaryota; Metazoa; Chordata; Mammalia; Hyracoidea; Procaviidae
Description: tRNA-Gly (TCC) (tRNA-Gly-TCC-7-1)
Rfam family: tRNA
About the family: Transfer RNA (tRNA) molecules are approximately 80 nucleotides in length. Their secondary structure includes four short double-helical elements and three loops (D, anti-codon, and T loops).
Source: RNAcentral